Molecule: long non-coding RNA, 1037 nt
Organism: Cheilinus undulatus (humphead wrasse)
Lineage: Eukaryota; Metazoa; Chordata; Actinopteri; Labriformes; Labridae
Exons: 3
Source: RefSeq, a predicted model, not a curated record
ACAAGCCUGACGAUGCAUCCGCGCUCUGCUAGCGUAAGUGCCUGUUAUAAACUACACAGUCGCUUGACCUCAUUUUAAACUCUGAAAAUGUUCCUAAGAAGUUCCCCUGACUUUGAGUGAGUCCGUUCUUUUACUGCGCGACCAUUAAGCCAAACAGCCGUUAAGCUAGCAUCUAUAACGUGACAAAUAGCAUGACGUCGCGAGCGAAAUGUUCCCGAGUUUCCACUUUGCGUCGGUAAAAACACCGCGGGCGCUGAAGCACGACCAUGUAAACAAGUGCUUCCUUCAAUUAGCCUCUCUGCCAAGAGUGUCACCACGAUCUCUCAUCAGCAGCAAGAAUGGUCUCAGCUGUGGCGCAGACACAUUAGCCGAGCCGUCAGCGUCAUGACUGCCAUCAGUAACGGAAGUACCUGUUGACCUGGCAAGGCUCGUGAGGGACAGAGAUGAGAGGAGACAAGCCUGGGGAGGAAGCACGGAGCAUGGCCCACAUCAGACUGGCUGUGUGCUGUCUUUGCUGGAGUCCAACCUGAUGUGAUCAAUAAACUUUGAGGGUUGGAUCAGUUUGCACUCGCAAGGUCAAGAAAGUAACUCUCCUCAAGGGUUGAGAGCAAUUCUUGAAGAGAAGUGGAUGGGUGUCCCAGGUAUAUCAAGAAGUCAUCUGCAAACAUGGCAAUUUUAUGUUCUCCAUGAGCUAAUCGGAUCCCUUUUAUCUUCCCAUUCUGUCUUAUCCACUGACCGAGAGGCUCUAUAAAGAUGGCAAAUAAGAGUGGAGAGAUAGGACAGCCCUGUCUACACCCCCUUUCUAAUUUAAAAGAAUUUGAUAGUCCUCCAUUAAUCCUUAUUUGAGUAAAUGGUUUGUCAUAUAAUUUUUGUACUGUCUUCAAAAAAUUUUUAUGAAAUUGAAAUCUCUCUAGUACCUUGUAUAGAAAAAAACAGUUAACUGAGUCAGAUGCCUUUUCCGCAUCCAACCCCAGUGAGACAGCCUCUAAAUUGUAUUUAUUUACAUGAUUAAUUAUGUGUAAUGUCCGUCUAACAUU